This 253-nucleotide ribosomal RNA is filed under the name uncultured bacterium. RNAcentral describes it as "partial 16S ribosomal RNA". It matches the Rfam family "Bacterial small subunit ribosomal RNA", at positions 524 to 776 of the family's 1533-position model. The record is from RNAcentral.
GACAGAGGUGCCAAGCGUUAGGCGGAAUCACUGGGCUUAAAGCGUGUGUAGGCGGAUGUCUAAGUACCUUGUGAAAUCCCACGGCUCAACCGUGGAACUGCUUGGUAUACUGGAUGUCUUGAGCCAGCUAGGGGCUACCGGAACAAAUGGUGGAGCGGUGAAAUGCGUAGAUAUCUGGAGGAACACCGGUGGCGAAGGCGGCAUCCUGGACCAUUACUGACACUGAAAAGCGAAAGCCAGGGGAGCAAACGGG